This 497-nucleotide ribosomal RNA is filed under the name uncultured bacterium. RNAcentral's name for it is "partial 16S ribosomal RNA". It matches the Rfam family "Bacterial small subunit ribosomal RNA", at positions 28 to 507 of the family's 1533-position model. The record is from RNAcentral.
GAUGAACGCUGGCGGCGUGCCUAAUACAUGCAAGUCGAGCGAACGGACGAGAAGCUUGCUUCUCUGAUGUUAUCGGCGGACGGGUGAUUAACACGUGGAUAACCUACCUAUAAGACUGGGAUAACUUCGGGAAACCGUAUCUAAUACCGGAUAAUAUUUUGAACUGCAUUGUUCAAAAGUGAAAGACGGUCUUGCUGUCACUUAUAGAUGGAUCCGCCCUGCAUUAGCUAGUUGGUAAGGUAACUGCUUACCAAGGCAACGAUGCAUAGCCGACCUGAGAGGGUGAUCGGCCAGACUGGAACUGAGACACGGCCCAGACUCCGACGGGAGGAAACAGUAGGGAAUCCUACGCAAUGGACGAAAGCCUGACGGAGCACAGCCGCGUGAGUGAUGAAGGUGUUAUGAUCGUAAAACUAUGUUAUUAGGGAAGAACAUAUGUGUAAGUAACUGUGAACAUAUUGACGGUACCUAAUCAGAAAGCCACGGCUAACUCCGUG